CGACUGACUAAGGGGGAUGAACCUAACCAAACGUUUCAUAAGGAGCACGAUGAGAAGAUGAUAGUGCUACCUUGCCCCCCCGAUCUGCCCGUUUGUGCUGAUGACAAGGUGAGUGCUGACGGGCCCUUCUGCUUCGUCUACACAACGCUAUUCAAGAAGGUGAAACUGAAGUUUCCCUUCACCCGAUUCGAGAGGGAACUCCUUACCGAGC
Molecule: long non-coding RNA, 211 nt
Filed under: Phaseolus vulgaris (common bean)
Lineage: Eukaryota; Viridiplantae; Streptophyta; Magnoliopsida; Fabales; Fabaceae
Description: long non-coding RNA (PVUL_LNC002158)
Source: RNAcentral